AGCCCCUAGCGCAGACGGCGGAGAGCAGAGAGGGAGCGCGCCUUGGCUCGCUGGCCUUGGCGGCGGCUCCUCAGGAGAGCUGGGGCGCCCACGAGAGGAUCCCUCACCCGGGUCUCUCCUCAGGGAUGACAUCAUCCGUCCACCUCCUUGUCUUCAAGGACCACCUCCUCUCCAUGCUGAGCUGCUGCCAAGGGGCCUGCUGCCCAUCUACACCUCACGAGGGCACUAGGAGCACGGUUUCCUGGAUCCCACCAACAUACAAAGCAGCCACUCACUGACCCCCAGGACCAGGAUGGCAAAGGAUGAAGAGGACCGGAACUGACCAGCCAGCUGUCCCUCUUACCUAAAGACUUAAACCAAUGCCCUAGUGAGGGGGCAUUGGGCAUUAAGCCCUGACCUUUGCUAUGCUCAUACUUUGACUCUAUGAGUACUUUCCUAUAAGUCUUUGCUUGUGUUCACCUGCUAGCAAACUGGAGUGUUUCCCUCCCCAAGGGGGUGUCAGUCUUUGUCGACUGACUCUGUCAUCACCCUUAUGAUGUCCUGAAUGGAAGGAUCCCUUUGGGAAAUUCUCAGGAGGGGGACCUGGGCCAAGGGCUUGGCCAGCAUCCUGCUGGCAACUCCAAGGCCCUGGGUGGGCUUCUGGAAUGAGCAUGCUACUGAAUCACCAAAGGCACGCCCGACCUCUCUGAAGAUCUUCCUAUCCUUUUCUGGGGGAAUGGGGUCGAUGAGAGCAACCUCCUAGGGUUGUUGUGAGAAUUAAAUGAGAUAAAAGAGGCCUCAGGCAGGAUCUGGCAUAGAGGAGGUGAUCAGCAAAUGUUUGUUGAAAAGGUUUGACAGGUCAGUCCCUUCCCACCCCUCUUGCUUGUCUUACUUGUCUUAUUUAUUCUCCAACAGCACUCCAGGCAGCCCUUGUCCACGGGCUCUCCUUGCAUCAGGUAGGGGCUUUGCAGAGACCAUCGACGGGCUGACUUGACCAAGCUUCUUGAAAGGCCUGUCUACACUUGCUGUCUUCCUUCCUCACCUCCAAUUUCCUCUUCAACCCACUGCUUCCUGACUCGCUCUACUCCGUGGAAGCACGCUCACAAAGGGCUAAUCUCGGGCCUUGUCGAAGGAAGAGGCUGCAGACGUUAAUGAGGUUAGCUGCUGGAUUCCAGUAUUCGUCGCAUAAGGAUCCUUCUUUGUCUGCGAAGGAAAAACACACUGAUUAUCAUAAUGAGGCACGUGGGCCGUGGCCCGGCUGGGUCGGCUGAAGAACUGCGGAUGGAAGCUGCGGAAGAGGCCCUGAUGGGGCCCACCAUCCCGGACCCAAGUCUUCUUCCUGGCGGGCCUCUCGUCUCCUUCCUGGUUUGGGCGGAAGCCAUCACCUGGAUGCCUACGUGGGAAGGGACCUCGAAUGUGGGACCCCAGCCCCUCUCCAGCUCGAAAUCCCUCCACAGCCACGGGGACACCCUGCACCUAUUCCCACGGGACAGGCUGGACCCAGAGACUCUGGACCCGGGGCCUCCCCUUGAGUAGAGACCCGCCCUCUGACUGAUGGACGCCGCUGACCUGGGGUCAGACCCGUGGGCUGGACCCCUGCCCACCCCGCAGGAACCCUGAGGCCUAGGGGAGCUGUUGAGCCUUCAGUGUCUGCAUGUGGGAAGUGGGCUCCUUCACCUACCUCACAGGGCUGUUGUGAGGGGCGCUGUGAUGCGGUUCCAAAGCACAGGGCUUGGCGCACCCCACUGUGCUCUCAAUAAAUGUGUUUCCUGUCUUAACAA
This 1760-nucleotide long non-coding RNA is filed under the name Homo sapiens (human). RNAcentral describes it as "non-protein coding lnc-DLK1-35:15". The stretch from base 536 to 640 matches the Rfam family "Maternally expressed 3 conserved region 2". Lineage: Eukaryota; Metazoa; Chordata; Mammalia; Primates; Hominidae. The record is from RNAcentral.